This 595-nucleotide ribosomal RNA is filed under the name Symbiodinium sp. clade B. RNAcentral's name for it is "eukaryotic LSU rRNA". It matches the Rfam family "Eukaryotic large subunit ribosomal RNA", at positions 83 to 671 of the family's 3401-position model. The record is from RNAcentral. Lineage: Eukaryota; Dinophyceae; Suessiales; Symbiodiniaceae.
GUAAUGGCGAAUGAACAGGGAUGAGCUCAGGCUGGAAACCGAUACAUCUGUGUCGGGCUGUAGCCUGCAGGCAUAGCGCUAUCGGCGGCUCGAGCGCAAGCCUCUUGGAAUAGAGCGUGUGCCCGGGUGAGAAUCCUGCAUUUCGCUCGAUGUCCGCUGUCCACAGUGCUUGUCCUGAGAGUCACGCUCCUCGGAAUUGGAGCGUAAAUCAGGUGGUAAGUUUCAUCCAAAGCUAAAUAGAAGCUCGAGACCAAUAGCAAACAAGUACCAUGAGGGAAAGAUGAAAAGGACUUUGGAAAGAGAGUUAAAAGUGUUUGAAAUUGCUGAGAGCGAAGCGAACGGAGCCACAUGUCGUGCUGAGAUUGCUGUGGGUCUUUGUGAGCCUUGAGCAUGUAAGCGCAAGCUGACUGCUUAUGUGUGAGCAUUUACCCGCAGUGUUUCUCAGCAUGCGAGUCAUUAGCCACAUUUGUUUGAGGAUGGCCUUCAGCUCACAUGGUACACUUGUUAGUGUUCCUCUGUGCGGUGUGGGACUCAGACAGGUGUGGCUUGUUGACCCAGUGGUUUUUUUCGACCCGUCUUGAAACACGGACCAAGG